UGCGUAGGCGGCCUGAUAAGUCAGGGGUGAAAGACGGUGGCUCAACCAUCGCAGUGCCUUUGAUACUGUCGGGCUUGAAUGUACUUGAGGUAGGCGGAAUGUGACAAGUAGCGGUGAAAUGCAUAGAUAUGUCACAGAACACCGAUUGCGAAGGCAGCUUACUAAAGUAUGAUUGACGCUGAGGCACGAAAGCGUGGGGAUCAAACA
RNAcentral lists this ribosomal RNA (207 nucleotides) under uncultured Sphingobacteriaceae bacterium. RNAcentral describes it as "partial 16S ribosomal RNA". It matches the Rfam family "Bacterial small subunit ribosomal RNA", at positions 568 to 774 of the family's 1533-position model. Lineage: Bacteria; Pseudomonadati; Bacteroidota; Sphingobacteriia; Sphingobacteriales; Sphingobacteriaceae. The record is from RNAcentral.